RNAcentral lists this ribosomal RNA (473 nucleotides) under uncultured bacterium. RNAcentral's name for it is "bacterial SSU rRNA". It matches the Rfam family "Bacterial small subunit ribosomal RNA", at positions 28 to 507 of the family's 1533-position model. The record is from RNAcentral.
GAUAAACGCUGGCGGCGCACAUAAGACAUGCAAGUCGAACGGACUUAACCGAAAGUUUACUUUUGGAGCGGUUAGUGGCGGACUGGUGAGUAACACGUAAGCAACCUGCCUAUCAGAGGGGAACAACAGUUAGAAAUGACUGCUAAUACCGCAUAUGCCUAAGUAUCACAUGGUACAAUAGGGAAAGAAGUAAUUCGCUGAUAGAUGGGCUUGCGUCUGAUUAGAUAGUUGGUGGGGUAACGGCCUACCAAGUCGACGAUCAGUAGCCGGACUGAGAGGUUGAACGGCCACAUUGGGACUGAGAUACGGCCCAGACUCCUACGGGAGGCAGCAGUGGGGAAUAUUGGGCAAUGGGGGAAACCCUGACCCAGCAACGCCGCGUGAAGGAAGAAGGCUUUCGGGUUGUAAACUUCUUUUACCUAGGGACGAAGGACGUGACGGUACCUGGAGAAAAAGCCACGGCUAACUACGUG